CCCAUAUUCUGAAAAGAGGUAGGACAGGAAAGAAAACCUGUUAGGAAAUCCUUCCGGAACAGCACGGCAGUUUGCCCGCCGGGAGUACAUCACAUGGAGCAGGUCUGCAUGAGCACCGCUUGGAUAAGAGGCUACCAAUCUUUUUCUUCCCUAUGAUUAGAAACACAUUUUAUCUUCAGGAACUAUUCACAUGAUGCAACAUCUCUACUUCAGUAUCUGUACACGUGCAGCAUAAUGUAGGAACUCCUGGAUUAUUAUCCUUGGCUAGUACUCCUCAGAGGUAAGGCUGGACUAGAUGAUCCCUGAGGUCCCUUCCAACCUGUGAUUCUGUGAUUCAGAGAAAGCUGCCAGGUAAUUACUUAGUUCCGGCACUGCGGUGUCAUCCUUCAGAGAGAUUAAAACAUAUAAUGCUUGUGUGAUUGAGUCCAAAAAGCACCAAGCACUAGUAAAGUCAGUCUGCAUGUUGCUAAAAGGCUAGUAAUUCACAGUGUUGAUUUCUAGUCAUGCAAACUUGCAGUAUUAUGAAUAGCCUUUAUACAAACCCAUUUUAAUAUGAUCUUCCUAUAACAGAGAUCACUAAUACAAAUAGCUGUUCAUAAAAUU
Non-coding RNA from Phalacrocorax carbo (great cormorant), 603 nucleotides. Lineage: Eukaryota; Metazoa; Chordata; Aves; Suliformes; Phalacrocoracidae. The record is from RefSeq and is a predicted model, not a curated record.